Molecule: long non-coding RNA, 233 nt
Filed under: Vigna radiata
Lineage: Eukaryota; Viridiplantae; Streptophyta; Magnoliopsida; Fabales; Fabaceae
Description: long non-coding RNA (VRAD_LNC015225)
Source: RNAcentral
CAAAUGGCAAGACUGGCAAUGUGGAUGAGGUUAAAGACGGCAAUGGGUCUACGCUGACAAAGUCACUAUUUUCAGAUAUAUAGUACACAUAUGCAUAAUUUGGUUCGAAAAAGGGUAAGAGUGAUAUAAUUUGUGGAGUCUCAACCAUGAUUUUCUGGAACAAGAUUUCAAAGUAAAUCAUAAGAAGAAAGAAAGAAAAGUUAGACAGAUGAAGAUGAUAAAUUGAUGUUUUU